Molecule: non-coding RNA, 304 nt
Organism: Pelobates cultripes (western spadefoot toad)
Lineage: Eukaryota; Metazoa; Chordata; Amphibia; Anura; Pelobatidae
Source: the annotation of a GenBank genome assembly
GUAAUCGCCACAUAACAAGCCAGAGCCUUCGCUACACAGAGUUUCAGCAAAUCACGGAAAUAAGGGUAAAGAACAGCCAUCGAAUCUGACUUGGUACGCUUAACAACCCUGAAAGUGACCCCCUCCGGAGAAAGGGAAAAAGCGUUGACAUUGAAGGCCCGGACAUCAGAAACACGUCUGAACGAGACAAGACACAGUAAGAGGGCAAAUUUGGCCGAAAGCUGAUGAAGGGAAAGGUCCUGAUUAUCAGGCCAAUCCCAUAGGAACGAUAAAACCGUGUGUACAUUCCAGAGGGAAGAAUACU